Non-coding RNA from Triticum aestivum (bread wheat), 139 nucleotides. Lineage: Eukaryota; Viridiplantae; Streptophyta; Magnoliopsida; Poales; Poaceae. The record is from Rfam.
CCCCUCACCGACGAGGACAUGGUGUCCUACAUCCUUGCGGGACUCGACUUCGACUACAUGUCCUUCGUCUCUACCAUCUGCGCCCAAACUGAGUCCAUCAAGGUGAGCGAGCUUUAUUCGCAGCUCAUCAACUAUGAAA